GAGACUCUGUGCGCGUGCAUAUCAAUAAGCGGAGGAAAAGAAACUAACAAGGAUUCCCUUAGUAACGGCGAGUGAAGCGGGAAGAGCUCAAAUUUGAAAUCUUCAAGGUUUUACCUUGACGAAUUGUAGUUUAAAGAAGUGUUUUCUGUUGAAGUUUUGGUAAAAGUUCUUUGGAAUAGGACAUCAUAGAGGGUGAGAAUCCCGUAUUUGACCAUUAUUUUCAGCUGUGUGAUACACUUUCAAAGAGUCGGAUUGUUUGGGAAUGCAGUCCAAAAUGGGUGGUAAAUUUCAUCUAAAGCUAAAUAUUGGCGAGAGACCGAUAGCGAACAAGUGCCGUGAGGGAAAGAUGAAAAGAACUUUGAAAAGAGAGUUAAACAGUACGUGAAAUUGUCAAAAGGGAAGCGUUUGACACCAGUGUUGUUUUCUCGAAAAUCAAUUAAAAAAGGCCGGAUUUUGUGUUGUAUUGACCUUAAAAGCUUUCUUCACUCUUUUCUUGUCUUUUUUAAUGCACUUUUCGUUUAACAAGUCAACAUCAGUUUCUUUUGUUGUAAAAGAGGUCAUUGGAAGGUGGCUUUCUUUUCGGAGAAAGUGUUUAUAGCCUUUGAUCUUCUGCAAUCGGAGAGAUUGAGGUCUGCAGCGUAGAUCCUUCGGGGUUAGAUACAUUUGUGCUAAGCUAUAGCCUUUUCAUAGACAACUUGUUGACUAUGAUCAGUCAUGUAGGCUUACUCGCUUAUGCUAUUUUACCUACGCUUAGGAUGUUGAACUCUAUCACACACAG
Molecule: ribosomal RNA, 778 nt
Filed under: uncultured Neocallimastigales
Lineage: Eukaryota; Fungi; Neocallimastigomycota; Neocallimastigomycetes; Neocallimastigales
Description: partial large subunit ribosomal RNA
Rfam family: Eukaryotic large subunit ribosomal RNA
Source: RNAcentral